RNAcentral lists this ribosomal RNA (321 nucleotides) under uncultured organism. RNAcentral describes it as "bacterial SSU rRNA". It matches the Rfam family "Bacterial small subunit ribosomal RNA", at positions 592 to 911 of the family's 1533-position model. The record is from RNAcentral.
AUGUGAAAGCCCGGGGCUUAACCCCGGAAGUGCAUUUGAAACUAAAGGACUUGAGUAUGGGAGAGGGAAGUGGAAUUCCUGGUGUAGAGGUGAAAUUCGUAGAUAUCAGGAGGAACACCGGUGGCGAAGGCGACUUCCUGGACCAAUACUGACGCUGAGGCGCGAAGGCGUGGGGAGCAAACAGGAUUAGAUACCCUGGUAGUCCACGCAGUAAACGAUGAACACUAGGUGUAGCGGGUAUUGACCCCUGCUGUGCCGCAGUUAACGCAUUAAGUGUUCCGCCUGGGGAGUACGACCGCAAGGUUAAAACUCAAAGGAAUU